AACGGCUGUUGCUUCUCUAAAUGGUCUAAAAGUGCGCGGGAAAAUGUAAACGCUAGGGCCUAGGCCAGUUUUUCAAGAGCGCGAAUUUCUACGUGAAAUUUCUCGACUUUCGUAUACUGUUCAAGCGAAAAAUGAAACCAUUGAAGCGGAAAAAUGGUAAGCAUUUUCCUCAUAAGAAAUUGGCCGAGAUAAGCAUGUGAAAAACAAUAGUUUUCAAAACAAUUGUUGAUAUGGGAUAAAGUUAUUGAAGAAAUAAAAUGUCUAUAGUGUAUGUGGGCUACCUGUGGUGUCUAGUGAUGUCAUGAGUUAGCCAGAGAAGGGUUGAAACGGGUCACGUGAAUCGGCUUGGCCAAUCAGAACGCGCCAAAAAAAUCAUUUUUGUUUAAAAGUUUUUGGGUGAAGAGCUCCCGGACAACUUCACUUUGGAGCAGAUUUGUGGUUUAGUCGGGGUAGAAAUGUAAAACCUACUGAGUUGCAGAACCCAUUCAUUGUAGAACCCACUACAUGCUUGUUGGAGGGGUGUCAGCUGACCCACAAGGCAAAAUGGGGACCUGACUAACUGACAGAUUGACCUAUUGAUUGACCCAUUUAUUGACUAACCGAUUGACCGAUUGAUUUUAACCUAUGCACUAAUUGAUGCAAAGCAUAAGAAUAGUAUAGGGUACAGUAUCAGAAUAUUAUCACAACAAAGUCUUGAUCUAAUCAGAAUAUCUAUUUUUGUUACAACAUUAAGUAAUUUAUUAUAUAUAUUGUAUAACACAUAAGACAUUGUAUUUUAGGGGAUUAUUUAUUGUUGGAAAUCUCAUUUCUUAUUGUUUGGAAUCAUAUUUCUUAUAUAAAGUAGCAACAAUCUAUCAAAAACAAAGAUAUGAAAUUUUUAAA
Long non-coding RNA from Nematostella vectensis (starlet sea anemone), 882 nucleotides. RefSeq lists it as uncharacterized. The transcript has 2 exons. Lineage: Eukaryota; Metazoa; Cnidaria; Anthozoa; Actiniaria; Edwardsiidae. The record is from RefSeq and is a predicted model, not a curated record.